Molecule: ribosomal RNA, 429 nt
Filed under: Acidobacteriota bacterium
Lineage: Bacteria; Pseudomonadati; Acidobacteriota
Description: Acidobacteria bacterium partial 16S ribosomal RNA
Rfam family: Bacterial small subunit ribosomal RNA
Source: RNAcentral
UGGGGAAUUUUGGACAAUGGGGGAAACCCUGAUCCAGCCAUCCCGCGUGUGCGAUGAAGGCCUUCGGGUUGUAAAGCACUUUUGGCAGGAAAGAAACGUCAUGGGUUAAUACCCCGUGAAACUGACGGUACCUGCAGAAUAAGCACCGGCUAACUACGUGCCAGCAGCCGCGGUAAUACGUAGGGUGCAAGCGUUAAUCGGAAUUACUGGGCGUAAAGCGUGCGCAGGCGGUUCGGAAAGAAAGAUGUGAAAUCCCAGAGCUCAACUUUGGAACUGCAUUUUUAACUACCGGGCUAGAGUGUGUCAGAGGGAGGUGGAAUUCCGCGUGUAGCAGUGAAAUGCGUAGAUAUGCGGAGGAACACCGAUAGCGAAGGCAGCCUCCUGGAAUAACACUAACGCUCAUGCACGAAAGCGUGGGGAGCAAACAGG